This is a long non-coding RNA of Lagenorhynchus albirostris (white-beaked dolphin), 596 nucleotides long. RefSeq lists it as uncharacterized. The record is from RefSeq and is a predicted model, not a curated record. The transcript is spliced from 3 exons. NCBI's taxonomy places the organism in Eukaryota, Metazoa, Chordata, Mammalia, Artiodactyla, Delphinidae.
CUCAAUCACGGAGAACACACUUAAGGUAGCUCCCUACUCGCUUUCUCUGGACAACUAUUUAGAUAGACAUUGUCAGCUGGAAAUUUGAAGACAGCUCAUGGGAGGGACCACCAUUAUUUUGGCCAUGGAACAUGGUGACCGAUCCCUGUGGAAAAGCAAGGGAAUGAUGGCUAGGCCAAGAUCAGGGUAGCAGCACCACUACUAAAACCCUUCAACACCUGAAAUCCUACAAAUGGCUGAUAGAGUUCAAUCAUUUGGGGGCUCAUUUCUUCAGUGGAACUUCCUUCCAAAGUAUUCCAGGGACUUCCCUGGUGGUGCAGCGGUUAAGAAUUCGCCUGCCAAUGCAGGGGACAUGGGUUCAAGCCCUGGUCCGGGAAGAUACCACACGCCGUGGAGCAGCUAAGCCCAUGCGCCACAACUACUGAUCUUGCUCUCUAGAGCCCACAAGCCACAACUACUGAACCCAUGUGUGACAACUACUGAAGCCAAUGCACCUAGAGAAGCCACCGCAACGAGAAGCCCAUAUGCCGCAAUGAAGAGUAGCCCCGGCUCGCCAGAACUAGAGAAACCCCACACGCAGCAAUGAAGACCCAACG